AUCCCGUGUAUUACAUGGUUGGGA
RNAcentral lists this non-coding RNA (24 nucleotides) under Arabidopsis thaliana (thale cress). The record is from RNAcentral. Lineage: Eukaryota; Viridiplantae; Streptophyta; Magnoliopsida; Brassicales; Brassicaceae.